RNAcentral lists this ribosomal RNA (345 nucleotides) under uncultured bacterium. RNAcentral describes it as "bacterial SSU rRNA". It matches the Rfam family "Bacterial small subunit ribosomal RNA", at positions 1 to 334 of the family's 1533-position model. The record is from RNAcentral.
AGUGUAGAUUCAGAGUUUGAUCCUGGCUCAGGAUGAACGCUAGCGGCAGGCCUAAUACAUGCAAGUCGAACGGGAUCCAGGGGCAAGCUUGCUUGCUUCUGGUGAGAGUGGCGUACGGGUGCGUAACGCGUGAGCAACCUACCGCUGUCUGGGGGAUAGCCCGGAGAAAUCCGGAUUAAUACCGCAUAACAUCAGUUUACAGCAUUGUUUACUGAUCAAACAUUUAUGGGACAGCGAUGGGCUCGCGUGACAUUAGCUAGUUGGGGUGGUAACGGCACACCAAGGCGACGAUGUCUAGGGGAUCUGAGAGGAUGACCCCCACACUGGGACUGAGACACGGCCCAG